CAGAACCGCAGGAGGGGCCGGAGUCAGAGCAAGACGCUGUGGAUCAAGGUCCGGUGUCGGAGGUGGAGUUGGAGAGCGACUCUAAGGAAGGUGGGACCGGGCCA
This 104-nucleotide non-coding RNA is filed under the name Haptolina ericina. The record is from RNAcentral. Lineage: Eukaryota; Haptophyta; Prymnesiales; Prymnesiaceae.